RNAcentral lists this long non-coding RNA (1941 nucleotides) under Homo sapiens (human). RNAcentral's name for it is "HSALNT0375597". Lineage: Eukaryota; Metazoa; Chordata; Mammalia; Primates; Hominidae. The record is from RNAcentral.
CAGUUGGUCUCACCAGAAUGCUUAUUUAAGACUACCUGUUUUGCAUUUUUUCCUUUGUGUCAGUGACAUCAUCAGCCAGAAUCUACAACCUUUAGAAGGGUUGCUACAGUUGUGAGGCUGCUUAGUAAUGACGUCACUGUGCUUUGUUCUGAGAAAUUAAUCUUAAAAGGGAAUGCAUCCUUUAUAAGGUCACUGUGGUUGUGCAAAUUUAGUAUUCAAGGAGCUUCCUUUCUUCUCUAAGGGUAUUAGAAGGAGUCACAUAAUUAAUGGGGCACUGCUUCAUCACACAAAUUAAAGUGAUAUAGUCACACAAAAAGUAUGCUAAGUCCCGUCACAUAUGACAUGAUGACCUGCUAAUGUGUUUAAAAUAAUUAGCGUGAGAUAUUAGUAGCUGCAGUAGAUAAGAAAUGAAUUUUUUAAGGUACAAAAGUUACUGUGUAAAUAUACUGAUCAAAAUUUGAUUCCUUGCAUUCAAGGUGAUCUUUGGAACAAAUAUGGAAAAAAAAAUCAGUUGUAAUUUUUCUGUAAACAAAAGAAACAAAAACUGCAUUUGGAGAUCAUCUCUUUUGGUAUGGUACCUAUCCUCAUUUUGCAACCUGACACUGUUAUUGUUAUUAAUAUAGGGCUUACUACAAAGUUCUAUCUCCAGCUUUUAUUAUACUCUACAGGUUUCCUUGGGAUUUUACUUGAAAAAGAAGAGGAAACACAAGUGUGUAGCAAUUCAGUGUUUAUACAGUAGGGUUUUUAUGUAACCUCCGCCACCUAGCGGACUACAUGGGAACUCAUGAAAAAUAAUUUCUCCAUGCACCCUCUAAGACAAGUGUUCACAGCUUCUCAUAUCUUCAAGAGAUUUCAUGUCCUUUGCUUUUGUUCAAAUUUUUCAUCCUUAUUCAAUUUCCAUAGGAAUAUGAAGGCUAUCCAGAGGAAAUAACUGCCUUUUGGAAAAGCCUUCUGAAUACUAAAAGAUGUUCUUCAUUCAGAGUCCUUAAUAAUGAUAAGAUGAGCCGGGAGCAGUGGGUCAAGCCUGUAAUCCCAGCAUUUUGGGGGGCCAAGCUCUCCAAUAGCCUUGAAAACCAACAGCACUGCCAUAAUGGUGAGAAACAGCAGCCUUGAAGCUACUAGACAGGGCAAAGCUGGUUUGGAGCUCCCCAAAAACACUAUUCUCAGAGCACUGUCAUUAUUUGACCUGUCUGGCAUAUUCCUGCAACCUCCAUUGGCAAGACUUGCCUGUAUUUGAUCUUAUUCAGAACUUGCUCAUUGCAAACAACCUUUUUGGAGGGGAGGAGGUGGAAAACAAUAAGCACCAAUUAUUUAACAUUGCCACUGCCUGAGGAGAUGAUAAUGGUGGAACAAACAAGAAACUGACCAAUACACUUAAAGGAAAAGCUGAAUAACGAAAUGUCAAUAGGGGGCUCUGAAAAACUCCAACAUAUUCCUGAAACUCUAGAAAGCCAUGCAGAAGCACACAGAAGGCUGUAUACACGCCAAAGGCCACUUGAAGACCUAGGAAAGAUCUAAGAAGUACCUAAUAUCUCACCUAAGACUGACCUUGAAGCUCUGUGAGAGCAAGAAGUGAAGGCUAAGGCAGAGUUGCAAACUGCCAGGCUAAAUAUUGAAGGUCUGGUGAAACACAUGCACAAAGCCCAUCAGUGAAGGAUAAGAGACCUACUGAUUCCAGACAUUUAAGGAAAUCUCUAUCCAAUCAUUAGCUGACCAUUAAGCUAAACAAGCAGAGAUUUUAAUGGCCACACAUGACAAAGAAUACAGGUUUUACAAAUGCAUUCAGGAAAGUCAGUAAACAAACUGAUAGCAAACACAAUAACAAGCAGCAGCAACAAACCCCGAGGGGGUGAGUGACAUUUCCAGAGUUGCCAUAUUAUUUAAAAUGUUAAAUAUCUCCCAAAAAAUGAUAAAAUUUUAAAGAUAAAUAAAUAAAAUGUU